RNAcentral lists this ribosomal RNA (789 nucleotides) under uncultured bacterium. Its description in RNAcentral is "bacterial SSU rRNA". It matches the Rfam family "Bacterial small subunit ribosomal RNA", at positions 8 to 796 of the family's 1533-position model. The record is from RNAcentral.
AGAGUUUGAUCAUGGCUCAGGAUGAACGCUAGCGGCAGGCUUAAUACAUGCAAGUCGAGGGGCAGCGCGGUAGCAAUACUGGCGGCGACCGGCAAACGGGUGCGGAACACGUACGCAACUUACCCCUAACUAAAGGAUAGCCCAGAGAAAUUUGGAUUAACCCUUUAUAGUACAACUGAUUGGCAUCGAUUGGUUGUUAAAACUCCGGUGGUUAGGGAUGGGCGUGCGUCUGAUUAGGUAGUUGGUAGGGUAAUGGCCUACCAAGCCGACGAUCAGUAGCUGAUGUGAGAGCAUGAUCAGCCACACGGGCACUGAGACACGGGCCCGACUCCUACGGGAGGCAGCAGUAAGGAAUAUUGGUCAAUGGACGCAAGUCUGAACCAGCCAUGCCGCGUGAAGGAUGAAGGUCCUCUGGAUUGUAAACUUCUUUUAUCUGGGACGAAACACUGGUUUUCUAACCAGCUUGACGGUACCAGAGGAAUAAGCACCGGCUAACUCCGUGCCAGCAGCCGCGGUAAUACGGAGGGUGCAAGCGUUAUCCGGAUUCACUGGGUUUAAAGGGUGCGUAGGCGGGUAAGUAAGUCCGUCGUGAAAUCCUGCAGCUUAACUGCAGAACUGCCGUGGAUACUAUUUAUCUUGAAUAUCGUGGAGGUUAGUGGAAUAGGUCAUAGCGGUGAAAUGCUUAGAGAUGACAUGGAACACCGAUUGCGAAGGCAGCUGGCUACACGAUAAUUGACGCUGAGGCACGAAAGCGUGGGUAGCAAACAGGAUUAGAUACCCCCGUAGUCC